RNAcentral lists this ribosomal RNA (238 nucleotides) under Clostridioides difficile. RNAcentral describes it as "partial 16S ribosomal RNA". It matches the Rfam family "Bacterial small subunit ribosomal RNA", at positions 656 to 895 of the family's 1533-position model. Lineage: Bacteria; Bacillati; Bacillota; Clostridia; Peptostreptococcales; Peptostreptococcaceae. The record is from RNAcentral.
GGAGAGUGGAAUUCCUAGUGUAGCGGUGAAAUGCGUAGAUAUUAGGAGGAACACCAGUUGCGAAGGCGGCUCUCUGGACUGUAACUGACGCUGAGGCACGAAAGCGCGGGGAGCAAACAGGAUUAGAUACCCUGGUAGUCCACGCUGUAAACGAUGAGUACUAGGUGUCGGGGGUUACCCCCUUCGGUGCCGCAGCUAACGCAUUAAGUACUCCGCCUGGGAAGUACGCCGCAAGAGU